GUUUAUGCAAGAUAUUGGUCCGGAUCAAUCAUAAAAACUUAUUUCUCCAUCUUUCUUAUUAUCACACUUAUAUAUAUAUAUAUAUAUAUAUAUAUGUAAGUUUUUUAUUUGAUUGAGCCGUGCCAAUAUCAUGCAUAUAACU
RNAcentral lists this microRNA precursor (142 nucleotides) under Ipomoea nil (Japanese morning glory). Lineage: Eukaryota; Viridiplantae; Streptophyta; Magnoliopsida; Solanales; Convolvulaceae. The record is from RNAcentral.